CCGCCGCGCGGCGGGCGGGGCGGGGGCACGGGGGGAGGAAAGCAGGGGAUCGUAAGACCUUGCGCUAAAGGAGCGGCCGAUGUCUGAUUAGCUAGUUGGUGGGGUAAAGGCUUACCAAGGCAACGAUCAGUAGUUGGUCUGAGAGGACGGCCAACCACACUGGGACUGAGACACGGCCCAGACUCCUACGGGAGGCAGCAGUGGGGAAUUUUGGACAAUGGGCGAAAGCCUGAUCCAGCCAUGCCGCGUGAGUGAAGAAGGCCUUCGGGUUGUAAAGCUCUUUUAGUCGGAAAGAAAGAAUUACAAUAAAUAUUUGUGAUUUAUGACGGUACCGACAGAAAAAGCACCGGCUAACUACGUGCCAGCAGCCGCGGUAAUACGUAGGGUGCGAGCGUUAAUCGGAAUUACUGGGCGUAAAGGGUGCGCAGGCGGUUUUGCAAGUCAGAUGUGAAAGCCCCGGGCUUAACCUGGGAAUUGCGUUUGAAACUACAAGGCUAGA
Molecule: ribosomal RNA, 499 nt
Filed under: uncultured bacterium
Lineage: Bacteria
Description: bacterial SSU rRNA
Rfam family: Bacterial small subunit ribosomal RNA
Source: RNAcentral